ACUCAAAUGAAUUGACGGGGACCCGCACAAGCGGUGGAUGAUGUGGUUUAAUUCGAUGCAACGCGAAAAACCUUACCUACCCUUGACAUGUCAAGAAUUUCGCAGAGAUGUGGAAGUGCUCGAAAGAGAACUUGAACACAGGUGCUGCAUGGCCGUCGUCAGCUCGUGUCGUGAGAUGUUGGGUUAAGUCCCGCAACGAGCGCAACCCUUGUCAUUAGUUGCUACGAAAGGGCACUCUAAUGAGACUGCCGGUGACAAACCGGAGGAAGGUGGGGAUGACGUCAGGUCCUCAUGGCCCUUAUGGGUAGGGCUACACACGUCAUACAAUGGCCGGUACAGAGGGUCGCCAACCCGCGAGGGGGAGCCAAUCCCAGAAAACCGGUCGUAGUCCGGAUCGCAGUCUGCAACUCGACUGCGUGAAGUCGGAAUCGCUAGUAAUCGCGGAUCAGCUUGCCGCGGUGAAUACGUUCCCGGGUCUUGUACACACCGCCCGU
RNAcentral lists this ribosomal RNA (494 nucleotides) under uncultured bacterium. RNAcentral's name for it is "partial 16S ribosomal RNA". It matches the Rfam family "Bacterial small subunit ribosomal RNA", at positions 899 to 1397 of the family's 1533-position model. The record is from RNAcentral.